GACCGGGUCAUGAACCCGUGUCCCCUGCAUCAGCAGGCGGACUCUCAACCACUGCGCCACCAGGGAAGCCCCAGCUUUAGCUUCUAAUUAACCAUAUGAAUCCAUGGCUAUGAGCUGCUGCUGGGGCCACUGAGUGCUUCCCUGCUCGGAACCGGUGACCACUGUGAGCCGUGGUGUCAUUCCAGUACUGAGGAGAUGGAUUGACUGCAAAGGCCCCGGAAAAAAAAAAUGUAUAGCCUUGGUGGGGCAAUGCAGUUUUGGAGUAUCUGGAGAGGCUGCCGGCUGUGAUGCCAGAGUUUUGUGCUCACAUGGGGAAUGAGAGAACCACCACCACAAUCAAGACCUAGGACAGGAGAAUGAAAUGAAAACCCUGUAGUCCAAGGCAACUUUGUGGAUCAGGCGCUGUGGGCUGAAUCCUGGAGAAGGACAAGUCCAAGCUAGAAGAAACAUUCACGAUCACUCAGAGCUGGAGACCCAGAUGGUUAGUAACAGAACCAGGGCUAGAACCCAAGCCUUGGGAGCCCCCUUCUCAUGGCCCUUCUGUUAUACCACACUGCCUUCUCUUGAUGAUCCUUCUUUUAAAUCAGAGGUUGGCAAUUUUUUUCUGUAAAGGGCCAGAUAGUAAAUAAUUUAGGCUUUGCAGGCCAAUGGUUGCUGUCACAGCUGCUCAACUCUGCCAAUUUUAUGUGAAAGCAGCCAUAGAGGAUAGUUCCAUAAAUGAGCAUGGCUGGGUUCCAGUGAAGCUUUAUUUACAAACACCAGUGGUAGGCAUGAUUUAUCCCCUGUUUUACACCAUUGAAGUCAUGGCAAUUUCUGCUUGAUGGUCACCAAAAGACUACUGAGUCCUAGAGAGUUAAAGCCACCACCCAGUCUGCUGGUGAGCCAGGCUGUUGCAUCACAACCCACACAUGACUGGGCUUCCUUCCAGGUCUGUGUAUAAUCGGACUCUGAGCCAGCAGCCAAGAGAGUGAGCCUGGCACCCACAGCACUCCAGUUUCCAGAAGGAAUCACAAAUUCCCUUCCUGUGCAGAUACAGAAACAAUUGUACCACAGGAGAAUUACUGGAAAGUAAUGCAGGGUCAUCAGGAAGGAAAAGGAAUUCACUCGUUGGUCACAGUCUUCAGUCUGGUUGGGAGUCACUCAGACCUGGAAAGGUCAGCGAGGAUGCAUGUCUGGUUUGGGCAGGCCUGCAGGACUCUAUACUCACAGGAUGAUACACUGGGCUUUGGUGAUUUCUGUGGCCUCAGAGCUUCCUUUGGCUGCUCCAGUCAUCCUUUUCUCCUCACAGCCAGGUAUAUCAUUCCCCCCACUGUUUCAUCCCUCACCCCAUUUAUCAUCUGCCAGUGCUAAGCUUUUGUUCCUGUUAAUCAAAAUCUUCUAUAGGCAAAUAUUGUCUUCUCUCAAUUUUGUCUUCCACAAAACUUGACGACUUGACUUUUGAGUCCCAGGUCUGAGGCCCUCUAAGACAAAUGUACAGAAAAUAAGAAGAUCAGUGCAAAAAGCUUGGGUUAAACCCUAUGCUUAUGCCAAUGAACUGGAUGACUGUUUCAGUAUGUGUGUAUUAAUAUGUGUGCACGUGUGUGUGUGUGUUCACGUGUGUGUCUUUGUGUACAUAUCUGUGUGUAUCUGAGUUUGACCUUUAAAUCAGGAGGUCACCUUCCCUUUGGGCCUCUCUGCACAGGGAAGGUCUUUUAGUAACCUGGAUGCUCUUGCUCUUAGACUCAUGAGUAGUUGUUCUCCAGCCACCAUUCUCAAGUCUUCACUCCUUCCCUCUCAUUUUUCACCAUGCAAAUCCACGUAAUGGUCUUUUUCAAAGUUGAAAGAGUCGAGGACUUUUAAAGGCUGGAUGAUGUUUCCAAUGGAUUUAAUGAUCUAAUCCUCAAAAGAGUACAUGCAUUACCUGUUUUGAUGACCAACUGGUCAGACCUGCUACUGGGCAUAAGCUCCUAAUGAAUGUCUAAAUCCUUGGAGCUGAAGCGAUUUAGGAAAAAAUGUACAUUAUUAUUAGUUCCCCAAGUAGCACUCUGGCCCCUGGGGAAAGGGAUGCUGGUAGUUAAUGUGAGAGGAAGCAGAAAUGAGGAGGAAGGAAGAAAGGAAGGAAUAUUUGAUUAUUUCCUCAUAAAGAACCAAUUCCUUGAGCACCUGGCUAUGGUUCCUGCUGCUGUGAGAAGAAUAUAAACGGCUUUGAUAUUCCAUUGUUUGUUUCUGGGAAACAUUUGCUUACUCUUCUGAACUGCCUGGCUCUCAGACUGGCAACAGGGAAGAAAAUGUGGUGGAGAUGAAAGGAAAACUCCAGCCCAAGUGCUUUAAAUCAGAUUAGCUUUUCCCUUAAAACCCGCUUGCAAAUUCUUCUUAAUAAAUCUCUGGUUGAUUUUUAGUUACACUUCUUUCCCCUGAAGAGAGGCAUAUUCUUAAGUGUACGGGUUCUACUGUUCUGCUCACACCAUUGCUUUUUUGUUAGUUUCUUUAAUGACCUACUUUGUUUUGAUGAAAUCUUUAUCAUCCUCAGUAACACUAACGCUGAGGAAUGAAAUGAGUACAAAUGAAAAAACAGCUCACAAAACAGAAGCGAGAAAAGGUGGGGGAAGAGAAGUGAUGGUGGGUGGAUGAAUUUGAAAUGGCUCAUCACCACAAGGUGGCGCUGUUAAAACACCUCAUUUUAAAGUCCUAAAAAGGUUGCAAAUAAAGAAGGAAAACACAAAAUUAAAGAGCCUUUCGCAUAGAAAAUACUUUGUAUCAAAGGAGUGGUGUGUGUGUGUGGGUGUGUAUUAAAGAUAAAAUCAUUUUGGGAAGAGUAAAUGUUAUAGGAAGCAGUGAUAGAAUUGUGUUUGUUUUUGAGGGAGGUGUUUUAUAGUUGAUACUCUUAUAGUUCAAAUAUUAAAUAUUUUUAUUGGAUAUUAAGUAUAUUUAAUCCCAACCAGAUAUUUCUGGGAAUCUCCUGAAGUGUGACAUUGUAGACACCAGAAUGAUGGGUUAUGCUUACCAUUCCUUAAUCCAUUUUCAUUCUACACGGAGAACUUGCACACUAAGGGCAUUUAUUUGAAAACAAUUAGUGCCCCAUUAGGGGAAACAUGAAGCCUGCAGGGUCUCAAAUGUUCUUGACUGCUUUGGGAACUUGGUGUGUGGAAAAUUGGUAAAUUAAUACUCGGAAAAUAAUUCCUUACUUUAAAACAUGUUGUCUGUUAUGCGACUCCCUUGGUACUGGUACCAUUGUCAUUAAAAAUGAACGUUUUCAUGUUUGUGCAUUCUGUGUGUGCAUAGGGCAUCCAUUUACUGAUGGACAGAGAGAUGAAAAGCUGAUAUUUUGCAAGUUUGAACCCUGAAGGUGGGGUAUUGAUAUAACGGUGCAGAUAAUCUUACUCCUGAAGAAAGGCAGGAGUGGCAAAUGAUCUAAUGUAAGUGAGUAGAAGCGCCCAGAAGUUUACAUUGAUGCUCCUUUAUUUCAUCACCAUAGCAACUCUCCGACAGAUGAUGUUAAUAUCUCCAUUUUCAAGGAGAGGCUCUAAGAAGUUAAGUAACCUGUCAACUGUCACAAAGCCACUGUGUGGCAGACUCAGGAGGUAAGCCCAGAAAUUAUUCAUGGGAGAACAGUGCAAGCAUGUGAAAGGGAAAAAGGUCUAGGUUGUCUUGCAAUUUGUAUUUGGAUAAAACCUGGGAAAAUGACAUGGGUCUCUUUGAAAGAAAGAGACCUGCUCUGUACUAAUGCCUGUUUCCUCUACAACCAGGUGAGGUAUGUAUAUAUCGUAAUACACACACACAGGCACACACAUUUUUUUUUUUGCUUCUUUUAUAUAAAUUUUCAUCAACUUCUAUCUCAGCAUAACUAUAACAUUUUCUACCAUCCACAAAGCAGGAGGCCUGGAAAAACUGCUGGAUUUUUGCCAUAGCUGGGGAAAACAGUGCAAGUUGAUCAUGAAAAUUGUAGCUGUGAUAUCUCCCAGAUAAUUCGUACUACAGAGGCAUUGACCCAGCUGGAAGUUCAGUUCAUCGUAUAGAAAUCAACUGGUUCCUGCUUCGGGAAAAAUAUGUUAAUGAGAAUAUAUAACUCCAAGGACAGGGUGAUAUAUAGUAGAUACUCAAUGUGCUGUUAGAAUCUUAAGCCUAUAGAAAUAUUAAAAAAAUGCUUUUUGUUGUUUUGAAGUAUCUGAAAGAACUAUAUAUCUCUUACUAGACUUUAUGAUUGAACUGUAUUUAGGGUAGUAGUGUUUAGCCUAUCUUUUUCAGAGGUGCCUCUGUGUCCAUCUGGGAAGUUGUGUGUAGGGAAAUAUUGUGUGUGAGGGUGGUGACGGUGUGUGUGGAGGGAGUGUAAUGGGACAGGUGGGCUUUGGUCAUCCACUGCAGCUUAUUCUGGAGCAGCUGGGCUAUUUCUGACACAUAUAGUGCUUUUGUACUUGUGGAAUAUUCGAUUUUGAUGGUAAGUCCCAUAAUACAUCAAGGAUCUAAGAGAUUUAUUUAGGACAGUUCAUCACUCAGUCAUACUUAAAAUAUUCAGAUAUUUUGAUGUUUUUAAAAAAAUGAGAGAAUAUCCACUUUGUCCUAUGGCUAUCAAAAUUGAAUGUGACAUAAUAUUUGAGAAGAAAAAAUCAUUAUAGAUUUUAAAAAGAUGCACCACAAAGGAUUGAAUUCCUAAUUUUACAUAAAAAAAGGAAAGAAUCUCACUCUAUGAUGACAAAUCUUGAACCAGCUGGAGGCUGAUUAAUAUAGAAGUAAGAGCAACUAAGAAACAUUUUGACGGAAGCAGAAGACCUGGGGUUUAUGUUGAAGUUUUUGGUGUGUCCUCUGGUGGUUCUGAAACAUUGACAGGAGUGCCAUUUAUUUCUUUGUUUCUUUGCUCGGUUGUUCACUUCUAUAUAUUAUGAAGGGACCUCAAAUGCCCACUGUAUAGAAGUGAAUCAGGAGACUUGGAUCCACUGACAGCUGUAAGACUUCUUUGUUUCUGAGAAAGGUGUGCUGUUUACAUUCUAGCCUAUUAGUUGUGUUUUUAGGAUAACAUCUUUGGUAAAAGUGCCACCUGCUUGUUGUUGCAAUUGCACUGUUGCCAUUUGCCUGUUUUGCUAAUGAUUUGCUGCAGUUGAAACAUGGUGUGACUUGGUCUGGUUCCCAGGUCCUGAGAUCACAAGAAACACAGACAGGUACCUGCUUGAUUCUCCAAGGCUGCAGACAUUCCUCAGCAUGCAUCGUGCAGUACAUGCUGAACUUCCUGUGCCGUCGCAUAUCCAGCCAUCAGGCCCUCACCGGAGGGCUUGGGGGAUACUUGGGAGAACUUUGUUUAUAUGGGCUCAAGGUCAAGCAAUCUGUUUUAGACCUUCGGAAACUUAGCUUAAGGAAUAUUAAAAGGUCUCAUAAAGGAAGUUUGGAGUGUUGGCUAGCAGUUGGUUUGUUAAUGAGACUUAAGAAUCAUAUCUUGUCAUGCUAGUUAAUCAGUUAAUAAAUUAUUUUCAAUAUGAUAUUUCCUUUUUUCUUAAAAAAAAGUUUGUCCCUGACAGUAAAGGGUUGCCAAGAAUGUAGUCUUUGGUGAUUUCUUGUGGAAUAUGCCUUUGCUUUUUUUAUUAUGCCCCACCCCUCCUCAGUAUGGAGAAACAACAAAGGAGAAAGGGAAAUUUAGGGUAAAUAAGGAAACUCAGGGUCAGGAAUCAAACUGAGAUUUUUGGGUUCCAAGUUCAGUACACUGUUUUGACAUUAUUCCUAGCCAACCAAGUAUUUAAUAGCUCAUCAACAAGAACUUGAGACUCUGGCCUCAUUUUUGAGAUUCACAUACACCAGAAACUAACUGUUAGGGAGCAAUGCCCAAGGGCACAGUUAUCACUAGUUGAUUCAUACACAGCCUCAUUCCAUAAAAGGAAUGAAGUGGUCUGCAGCAAUGACACAUACAAUAAAUGAUGGUAAAAAGUAAAUUGGAGGAGCUGGAAGAUCCAGAUCGGGACAAGAGGCUGAUGUGAACUUAACCAAAGGACUUCAAGUGUGUUUGAGCUCAUCAGCUGUGACAGCCCAGCCUCCUCUGUGGCAGCGAGCCAAGCUGAAUCCAAGUGCAAAAGGACCACAGACACAAAGUAAGGAGCUAAGAAGCCUUCCCUCAUAAAAAUAUCCUCCCUGAGUGCUUAGAAUAUCCAUCACCACUCAGUUCACUGCACACUAGAAAGUGAAACAAUUUAAUAGAGUUAAUUUACCUGUAUAUGAAAUCACCGUUUAUUGUUACGGAAUCAGGCACGAAGCGGGCAGUCUUGUUGGUGAAAGCAGGUCAGGUUGGGAGGUUAGUGCCCUGAGGCUGAGGCCCAAGUGGGCAAUGCAAGGACCUUGUACCUGGGGAGGGAGACAGCAGUGUGCAGGUGGGGAGCUCUGAUGACAAAUGUGAUCUACAUCACAGUUUUUUUUUUUUUU
Molecule: non-coding RNA, 6378 nt
Organism: Delphinapterus leucas (beluga whale)
Lineage: Eukaryota; Metazoa; Chordata; Mammalia; Artiodactyla; Monodontidae
Source: RefSeq, a predicted model, not a curated record